RNAcentral lists this ribosomal RNA (497 nucleotides) under uncultured bacterium. RNAcentral's name for it is "partial 16S ribosomal RNA". It matches the Rfam family "Bacterial small subunit ribosomal RNA", at positions 28 to 507 of the family's 1533-position model. The record is from RNAcentral.
GAUGAACGCUGGCGGCGUGCCUAAUACAUGCAAGUCGAGCGAACAGACCCGGAUCUUGCUCCUUUGUCGUUUGCCGCGGGCGUGUGUGUAACACGUGUAUAAUCUCCCUAUCUUUCUGGUAUAACUUGGGGAAUGCGGAUCUAAUACCGGAGAAUCUCUUGAACCGCAGGGGUGAAUGGUAAAAUUCGGUUUUUCUGGCUGUUAUAGCUGGAUCUGGGCUGCAUUGGCUAGUUGGGGAGGUAACGGCCUAUCAAGGGAACGAUGCGUAGACGAACUCAGGGGCGGAUAGGCGACACGGGAACUGAGCCAGGGACCAGAGUACUACGGGAGGCAGCAGUAGGGAAUCUUCCGCAAUGGGCGAAAGCUUGACGGAGCAACCGGGAGUGAGUGAUGAAGGUCUCGGGAGCGUAAAACUCUGUUACUAGGGAAGAACAAAUGUGUAAGUAAAUAUGCACGUAUUGACGGUAACUAAUAAGAAAGCAACGGCUAACUACGUG